UUUACGAGCAAGGGGCGACCCCGAUCGUCAAGAGCUUCAGCAAGGAGAGGCUCAAGGAGAACCUCGGGAUCUUCGACUGGGGGCUCACCGACGACGACCUGCGCAAGAUCGGCCAGAUUCCGCAGAAGAAGAUCGUCAGAGCUGAAACCGUGCUGUUCUCGGCGGAGGGCGAGUUCACGUCGGCUGACCUCGCGGAGAUGGAAAUUGUCGAGGAAUAAUAUAGGCACCGAGAAUGCCUUCUUCGCUGUGUGACGUAAACUGCAGUAGCUUGCAUAAAGAGUGGGGAUGAAUAAAGAAGUGAUCCGUGCUGUAUCCUGUUAUUCCUCUUUUCGGAUUCAAGUUGUCAGUGAAGACUGUGAUCACCGUUGCCAUCCGCUCGGAAGUAUUCCCUAAUUUGAACUGCAAAAACGGCUUAUAUUAGUGUACUACUCCCUCCAUUUCAAAAUAAAUGACUAGUACAAAGUUGGA
Molecule: long non-coding RNA, 468 nt
Filed under: Triticum aestivum (bread wheat)
Lineage: Eukaryota; Viridiplantae; Streptophyta; Magnoliopsida; Poales; Poaceae
Description: long non-coding RNA (TAES_LNC024315)
Source: RNAcentral